GAUGAACGCUGGCGGCGUGCCUAAUACAUGCAAGUCGUGCGAACAGACGAGGAGCUUGCUCCUCUGACGUUAGCGGCGGACGGGUGAGUAACACGUGGAUAACCUACCUAUAAGACUGGGAUAACUUCGGGAAACCGGAGCUAAUACCGGAUAAUAUAUUGAACCGCAUGGUUCAAUAGUGAAAGACGGUUUUGCUGUCACUUAUAGAUGGAUCCGCGCCGCAUUAGCUAGUUGGUAAGGUAACGGCUUACCAAGGCAACGAUGCGUAGCCGACCUGAGAGGGGGAUAGGCCACACGGGAACUGAGACACGGUCCAGACUCCUACGGGAGGCAGCAGUAGGGAAUCUUCCGCAAUGGGCGAAAGCCUGACGGAGCAACGCCGCGUGAGUGAUGAAGGUCUUCGGAGCGUAAAACUCUGUUAUUAGGGAAGAACAAAUGUGUAAGUAACUAUGCACGUCUUGACGGUACCUAAUCAGAAAGCCACGGCUAACUACGUG
This 497-nucleotide ribosomal RNA is filed under the name uncultured bacterium. RNAcentral describes it as "partial 16S ribosomal RNA". It matches the Rfam family "Bacterial small subunit ribosomal RNA", at positions 28 to 507 of the family's 1533-position model. The record is from RNAcentral.